This 884-nucleotide ribosomal RNA is filed under the name Stagonosporopsis trachelii. RNAcentral's name for it is "LSU rRNA". It matches the Rfam family "Eukaryotic large subunit ribosomal RNA", at positions 37 to 939 of the family's 3401-position model. Lineage: Eukaryota; Fungi; Ascomycota; Dothideomycetes; Pleosporales; Didymellaceae. The record is from RNAcentral.
UACAUAUCAAUAAGCGGAGGAAAAGAAACCAACAGGGAUUGCCCUAGUAACGGCGAGUGAAGCGGCAACAGCUCAAAUUUGAAAUCUGGCGUCUUCGGCGUCCGAGUUGUAAUUUGCAGAGGGCGCUUUGGCAUUGGCAGCGGUCCAAGUUCCUUGGAACAGGACGUCACAGAGGGUGAGAAUCCCGUACGUGGUCGCUAGCCUCUACCGUGUAAAGCCCCUUCGACGAGUCGAGUUGUUUGGGAAUGCAGCUCUAAAUGGGAGGUAAAUUUCUUCUAAAGCUAAAUACUGGCCAGAGACCGAUAGCGCACAAGUAGAGUGAUCGAAAGAUGAAAAGCACUUUGGAAAGAGAGUUAAAAAGCACGUGAAAUUGUUGAAAGGGAAGCGCUUGCAGCCAGACUUGCCUGUAGUUGCUCAUCCGGGUUUCUACCCGGUGCACUCUUCUACGGGCAGGCCAGCAUCAGUUUGGGCGGUUGGAUAAAGGUCUCUGUCAUGUACCUCCUUUCGGGGAGGCCUUAUAGGGGAGACGACAUGCAACCAGCCUGGACUGAGGUCCGCGCAUCUGCUAGGAUGCUGGCGUAAUGGCUGUAAGCGGCCCGUCUUGAAACACGGACCAAGGAGUCUAACAUCUAUGCGAGUGUUUGGGUGUCAAGCCCGAACGCGUAAUGAAAGUGAACGGAGGUGGGAACCUUUCGGGGUGCACCAUCGACCGAUCCUGAUGUCUUCGGAUGGAUUUGAGUAAGAGCAUAGCUGUUGGGACCCGAAAGAUGGUGAACUAUGCUUGAAUAGGGUGAAGCCAGAGGAAACUCUGGUGGAGGCUCGCAGCGGUUCUGACGUGCAAAUCGAUCGUCAAAUUUGGGCAUAGGGGCGAAAGACUAAUCGAA